UACGUAGGGUGCAAGCGUUGUCCGGAAUUAUUGGGCGUAAAGAGCUCGUAGGCGGUUUGUCGCGUCUGCUGUGAAAUCCCGAGCUCAACCUCGGGUCUGCAGUGGGUACGGGCAGACUAGAGUGCGGUAGGGGAGACUGGAAUUCCUGGUGUAGCGGUGAAAUGCGUAGAUAUCAGGAGGAACAUCGAUGGCGAAGGCAGCCCCUUGGACCUGUACUGACGACUCAUGCUACGAAAGCGUGGGGAGCAAACAGG
Molecule: ribosomal RNA, 254 nt
Filed under: uncultured bacterium
Lineage: Bacteria
Description: partial 16S ribosomal RNA
Rfam family: Bacterial small subunit ribosomal RNA
Source: RNAcentral